Molecule: long non-coding RNA, 1566 nt
Filed under: Trifolium pratense (red clover)
Lineage: Eukaryota; Viridiplantae; Streptophyta; Magnoliopsida; Fabales; Fabaceae
Description: long non-coding RNA (TPRA_LNC014008)
Source: RNAcentral
GUGACUCUCAGAUAUUGAUUACUUCUCCCUUCUCAACCAGAAAAUUGAACCCAACAUAACUGAGACAAAAAAACUCAUAAGAAAAAAACGAAUCGACGAAGAAAAUGCGAACAAAUCAAAGAAGAAAAAUCAAAAGGAAGUAUAUACGAACCCAUAGUUAGAAAUAACUAAUAAGAAAAGAAACUUUAAACCAGUAAGAAGCAAAGAUGAACUUUGAGAUGAAAGAGAACAAAUUGACAAACCUAGAAAUUUCUUGACUGACCUGCAAUUUUUGUAAAUACCGGUCGAAUUAAAAAUUCACAAUAACAUUAACAAUACAAUCUUUAGUUAUUACAAAUUUACAAUAUAAAUUUAAUCAGCGUACUCACCUUGUUACAGUGGCAAUUUCCGUUUCAAGCAUAUUGAGAAUCACGAGAUUUAGGGUUUGACGGAGAUGGAGGUGUUGGACUGAAACGAAGGACCUAGGGUUCACGGAGAUUGAGGUUGAACGAGAGUAUAACGAUUUAGGGUUCUCAACCCAAAACAAAACCUGAAAACUCUAGAAAACUACACACACUAAACCAAUUAACAGAACAAGACCCUUCACACACUAAAAAAUUGAAACUCUUGAAAAUUAAUCUUCACUAUACCAAAUGGCUAGAUAAGAUACUGACAGUUGAUAGUACUAAAAUCCAUAAGUUCUUCACUACUAAAAUCCAUAGUUGGAUAGAUAAGAUACAUAACUUAUAAUUAUUAAUAUGGAUCUCAAUCACUCCAAUCAUAAAUUUAAGCAAAAUGGCUAAUGAGUCAAAUUUAAUGAGUCACUUUUUGAGUGUUCUGCAUCACAAUUCAAAUUUAGGCAACAAAACCACACCUAAGAAAGAAUGAACUGAUGAACUAAAAAUAAGUCAAAUUUAAGGAGUCACUUUAAGUGUUCUGUCAUACUACUUUGGUGUAAGAAGUGGAAUAAGCUUCUAUAACAAUUGAAAAUUAGAGUAGAUAUGGAACAAUGAACUACACAUAAGUGCAAUUGAAAAUCACAAAUUUAAUAUCUUCCACUAAAAAUCACAAUUGUAAACACACCACUACAGUUGAAAAAGUAACAGGUGAUUACCCAACACCCAAAAACAACUGUCUUCUAAAUUAAAUCAAUUUUGCAAAUUCAAUUGUAAGCAUACCUCAAUGACGGCAGUUUGAGUUGUGAAAGCACGGCGACGAACGAGUACGACUACUGACGGUUAAAUUCGUGGAUUAUUGGAUUAAGGUUCUUGGAGAGAAGAUAUUUUUGGGUUAUGGGUUAGGGUUCACAGUGGUUUAUGGAUUCUUGGAUAUUAAGAUUGACGAGUGUGAUUGGAGAAGACAAGUUGAACGAUUUCUCUUAGUUCCGAUUUCUCUAACUUCAAUUUCUCUGGGAAUCAACCUCUCUGAGUUCCGAUUGCUCUGAGUUUGAUUACAGAGGAACGAGAUUCCUUUGGGUUUGAAGCUACAAGACGAUCAAUUUCGAAUCUAGGGUUUGAGCUCAAUGUUUGCUGGGAAUGGUUUGAAGAAGCUAGAAAAACAUUGAUUUCUUUUCUAGGGUUUGAAUUC